GGCCUAACACAUGCAAGUCGAGCGGUAACAGAAAGUAGCUUGCUACUUUGCUGACGAGCGGCGGACGGGUGAGUAAUGCUUGGGAACAUGCCUUGAGGUGGGGGACAACAGUUGGAAACGACUGCUAAUACCGCAUAAUGUCUACGGACCAAAGGGGGCUUCGGCUCUCGCCUUUAGAUUGGCCCAAGUGGGAUUAGCUAGUUGGUGAGGUAAUGGCUCACCAAGGCAACGAUCCCUAGCUGGUUUGAGAGGAUGAUCAGCCACACUGGAACUGAGACACGGUCCAGACUCCUACGGGAGGCAGCAGUGGGGAAUAUUGCACAAUGGGCGAAAGCCUGAUGCAGCCAUGCCGCGUGUGUGAAGAAGGCCUUCGGGUUGUAAAGCACUUUCAGUCAGGAGGAAAGGGUGUGAGUUAAUACCUCAUAUCUGUGACGUUACUGACAGAAGAAGCACCGGCUAACUCCGUGCCAGCAGCCGCGGUAAUACGGAGGGUGCGAGCGUUAAUCGGAAUUACUGGGCGUAAAGCGUACGCAGGCGGUUUGUUAAGCGAGAUGUGAAAGCCCCGGGCUCAACCUGGGAACUGCAUUUCGAACUGGCAAACUAGAGUGUGAUAGAGGGUGGUAGAAUUUCAGGUGUAGCGGUGAAAUGCGUAGAGAUCUGAAGGAAUACCGAUGGCGAAGGCAGCCACCUGGGUCAACACUGACGCUCAUGUACGAAAGCGUGGGGAGCAAACGGGAUUAGAUACCCCGGUAGUCCACGCCGUAAACGAUGUCUACUAGAAGCUCGGAACCUCGGUUCUGUUUUUCAAAGCUAACGCAUUAAGUAGACCGC
RNAcentral lists this ribosomal RNA (831 nucleotides) under Pseudoalteromonadaceae bacterium ACEMC 4-1. Its description in RNAcentral is "bacterial SSU rRNA". It matches the Rfam family "Bacterial small subunit ribosomal RNA", at positions 45 to 872 of the family's 1533-position model. Lineage: Bacteria; Pseudomonadati; Pseudomonadota; Gammaproteobacteria; Alteromonadales; Pseudoalteromonadaceae. The record is from RNAcentral.